UGCAAGUCGAGCGGAUUGAUGGGAGCUUGCUCCCUGAUAUCAGCGGCGGACGGGUGAGUAACACGUGGGUAACCUGCCUGUAAGACUGGGAUAACUCCGGGAAACCGGGGCUAAUACCGGAUAACUCAUUUCCUCGCAUGAGGAAAUGUUGAAAGGUGGCUUCUGCUACCACUUACAGAUGGACCCGCGGCGCAUUAACUAGUUGGUGAGGUAACGGCUCACCAAGGCAACGAUGCGUAGCCGACCUGAGAGGGUGAUCGGCCACACUGGGACUGAAACACGGCCCAAACUCCUACGGGAGGCAGCAGUAGGGAAUCUUCCGCAAUGGACGAAAGUCUGACGGAACAACGCCCCGUGAGUGAUGAAGGUUUUCGGAUCGUAAAGCUCUGUUGUUAGGGAAGAACAAGUGCCGUUCGAAUAGGGCGGCACCUUGACGGUACCUAACCAGAAAGCCACGGCUAACUACCUGCCAGCAGCCGCGGUAAUACCUAGGUGGCAAGCGUUGUCCGGAAUUAUUGGGCGUAAAGCGCGCGCAGGUGGUUCCUUAAGUCUGAUGUGAAAGCCCACGGCUCAACCGUGGAGGGUCAUUGGAAACUGGGGAACUUGAGUGCAGAAGAAGAAAGUGGAAU
Molecule: ribosomal RNA, 629 nt
Filed under: Rossellomorea sp.
Lineage: Bacteria; Bacillati; Bacillota; Bacilli; Caryophanales; Bacillaceae
Description: bacterial SSU rRNA
Rfam family: Bacterial small subunit ribosomal RNA
Source: RNAcentral